Molecule: ribosomal RNA, 238 nt
Filed under: uncultured Lactobacillus sp.
Lineage: Bacteria; Bacillati; Bacillota; Bacilli; Lactobacillales; Lactobacillaceae
Description: partial 16S ribosomal RNA
Rfam family: Bacterial small subunit ribosomal RNA
Source: RNAcentral
CCGUAGCCCAAGAGAUCGGGAUAACACCUGGAAACAGAUGCUAAUACCGGAUAACAACAGAUGAUGCCUAUCAACUGUUUAAAAGAUGGUUCUGCUAUCACUCUUGGAUGGACCUGCGGUGCAUUAGCUAGUUGGUAGGGUAACGGCCUACCAAGGCGAUGAUGCAUAGCCAGUUGAGAGACUGAUCGGCCACAUUGGGACUGAGACACGGCCCAAACUCCUACGGGAGGCAGCAGCC